Molecule: ribosomal RNA, 253 nt
Filed under: uncultured bacterium
Lineage: Bacteria
Description: partial 16S ribosomal RNA
Rfam family: Bacterial small subunit ribosomal RNA
Source: RNAcentral
UACGUAGGGGGCAAGCGUUGUCCGGAAUCAUUGGGCGUAAAGAGCACGCAGGCGGUUUUGUAAGCCAGAUGUGAAAUCCCCGGGCUCAACCUGGGAAUGGCAUUUGGGACUGCAAGGCUGGAGUUUGGCAGAGGAGACUGGAAUUCCUGGUGUAGCAGUGAAAUGCGUAGAUAUCAGGAGGAAUACCGAUGGCGAAGGCAGGUCUCUGGGCUAUAACUGACGCUCAUGCACGAAAGCGUGGGGAGCAAACAGG